Molecule: long non-coding RNA, 7046 nt
Organism: Passer domesticus (house sparrow)
Lineage: Eukaryota; Metazoa; Chordata; Aves; Passeriformes; Passeridae
Exons: 3
Source: RefSeq, a predicted model, not a curated record
GCCAACGGGGCGGGAGCUGCUGCCGCGGUCGGGAUGCCCUCAUCCCAUCCUCACCUCCCGCCUUCUCUGGAGGGAGCGGCAUGUGGCUGCCUCGGCCUCCCACAGUGACCGCAGGACGACCCUUGGGUCAAUGCGUUCCUCGGGCAGGGAGGUUUCAUCGUCUUUUCGGUUAUAAAGAGUCAAGUUUAAAAAAAAAAAAAAUCUGCCUUAAUGACUUCAGAAUCGUCAAGCACUUUAUGUGAAGCAUGCCGUUAAGCUAUCCUCUACGAGACCCAGGAUAUGGUUUUUACCAUUGGGAAGUAUUGAGGGGUACCUAAGAAGAAUCAGAAAUUGUCCUAUGAAGGGAAGAAGAGGAGGACAAAAAAAGGCUGGAAGAUUUGGAAACCCUGAAAACAGUCACCGGAUAAUUUCCAUGCACAAUAAAAAGAGCAAAAGUGUUGGGCAGCAGCUCAGAUGCCUGAUGAAGGCUGUUGUGUCUGUACUGCACAUUAUAAAGGACCAUAUAUUAGUGACUGGUGUCAACUCAGGUUGAUAUUUUGAUAUGUAAUGUAUUAUCCAAGUGGUUUCCCCAGUAAUGUGACAUAAUUAAGAAAAUCACAGGAAAAAAAAGACUGGUGAACUUUCUGUCCCUCAGCAGAUGAAAAUUUGACCGUGCCUUUUCUAUUUCUUUAUUCUGUAUUGACACCUUGCCUCUGUCCCCAUAUGGUCAAGUUCUUCUGAAAAAAUUUUCAUUUUUUAGAGUCACUACCAAAGCUGUAAUCACAGCUAGGUUGAACACCAUGCUUCACCAGCCCAAGGCAACUUAAAUUAAUUGUUUUCGUGUGACUCAGUGGCAAAUAUAAAUUACAGCACCCUUGACCCUGUUGCAAAGUCUCCUUUUUUCCUGAUGUCUUUCAGUUUGAAGAUAAAAACUGUCACAGUUCUUUUUAGGCAGCAACUUUUCAAUAGCCAUUAGUGAAAAACACUAAAUUUAACAUUGUGUGCUUUCUUAUGUAGAACAAUGUAGACUUUUCAGGAAUUACACAACGCUUUUGUAAAGUUCUUUCUCACUAAUCUAUAGAAAUGCUACUAAAGAUAUCCUUGGAGAGAUUUAGGAAAGCAGUUUUUUGCUCCACUUCAAAUUAAAGGAAAUAAAAGCAUGUAAAUUCAGCACUGUUAUUAGCUCAAUAACAGGAGUGCUAUAUACUUCAUCAUAAAUAUGUUUUCUUGUGUUGGAGUGGGUAAAUUUUUUUUUCCUAAAAAUAACUUUCCCUCUCUUGCACAGCUCUCCUCUGGCCUGUAGGUGUCAUAGUCAGAAUAUGGAUGAAAUAGAUAAAUAUUAGUCUACUUACUUGAAAUAAAUUUCUGAAAAGCAAUGUUCUUGUUAGGUAAGUACUGUUAUUUAUUGAAGCUUUGGAAGUGGAGAAAUUACUCUAGUACUUAAACAAGCAUAAAAUAUAAUGGAUUUCACUGCACAUUCUCUACCUAUGAAGUUUCUUAUGUUUCUCAGGGAAAAAAACAUUUUUCUCAGAAUUCUUAACCUGAUGCCUCCAGCUUUGAACUUGCCUGUCUUGAUCCUGUUCUUUGUCCAUUUUUCUUUCGCCCUUGCUUCUUAAUAUCUAAGUCAGAUAAGAUCCAGAGAAGUGACUGAAAAUAUUAAAGAGCAGCAUGUUUCUAUUCUAGGCAAUAAAGUAUUGGACUGUAGGUGUAAUAAAGGUACAGGAUGAAGCACCAGUGAAUGCUAGGGAAAGUUGCCUGACCAGUAUGGUUGUCAGGACCAAUCCUAUGAUGGAGUGAUGGCAACUGUCAACAACAGAAGACCAACAGAUGUCAUCUAUCAAGAUUUCUGUAAGGCAUUUGACAUGGUGGCACAAGACAUCAUUGUCUUCUAACUGGAGAGACAUGGAUUUGAUGGAUGGACUGUUCAGUGGACAAGGAAUUGGCUGAAUGGAUGUAACCAGAGAGUUGGGCUCUUGUCUUGGGAUGGUGCUCUUUAGUAUUUAUAUCAAUGAAAUUGUGAGAUCGAGAGCACCCUCAACAAGUUUAAGUUCCAUGAAGCUGAGAAGUGCAGUUGUCACAAUAGAAGGAUGGGAUACCAUCUAUGGGAUAUGGACAAACUUGAGAAGUGGGCCCAUAGGAAUUUCAUUUAGUUCAACAAGUCCAGGUGCAAAGUGCUGCACCUGCCUCAGGGCAAUCCCAGACAUGAGUCCAGGCUGGGAGAAGAACUUGGUCUGGGGUCCUCAGCACAAGAGAGAUAUUACAUCUGUUAGAGCAAGUCCAGAGGAGGUCACAAAGAUACCCAGAGGAGAGGAUAACCUCUUCUGCAAGGGCAGCCUGAUAGAGUUGGAGUUGUUCAUCCUGGAGAAGGCUCCAUGGAGGCCUCUCUGACACCUUUCAGUUACAUUAAGAGGUGUUUAUUGAAGGAGGGAGGAAACUUUUUUAAAGGUAAAUAGUGACAGGACAAGGGGCAAUUGUUUUAAGCUAAAAGAGGACAGGUUUAAAUUAGUUCUUAGGAAGAAAUUUUUUUCUCUGAGGGUAGUGAUGCACUGGCACAGGUUGCCCAGAGAAGCUAUGGAUGUGCCAUCCAUGGAAGUGUUUGAGGCCAGGUUGGAAGGGCCCCUGAGCAACCUGAUUUAGUGAAUUAUCUCCCUGCUCAUGGAGGGGUAGGUAGAAACUUGGUGGUCUUUAAGGUCACUUCCUCCUACCCUCCCCAAGCUAUUCUAUGAUUCUGUAAAACAUCUAAGGAACCUAAGUUGUAUCAAAUUCUCAUAGUACAACCAAUUUUCAAACUCUGUUGCCUACUAAGCCGUUAAAGACAGCAAAAAUCAGAUUUAACCAAUCUAGGUUCAAGUCCUUCACUGGAGACCUAAAUUGAAAACCUUGUCACACUGUCUAAUUGAUGCAGUAUUCAAGCAUCAGCAGGAAAACAUUUGUCUACCCAAAAAGUCAAGAUCUCUCCAUCUGCAGGGAAAGCUACCAGUGAACUUCUAUCAUGACACCCAAAGUCAGGUGAAGUAGCGCUAAGUCAGUGUCACAUCGACAGUAGGGUAUAGUGGGAUCUGGUAACACAUUAAGAGGCUGCUUACAUAAAUGUUAUUUAAUCUACAAUUGCUAUGCAAACAACUUUGGAAAUUCUGGUUGGCCAAUGCUCAGCUCCUACAAUUUGGAAAAUGGACAUUCCUCCAGUAGAAGGUUCUGUGGGAUUUCUAGUUCAUCAAGGACAGAGAUGUUGGAGCCUUGGAUAUUUGUAAAACACAUAAAAAAUUAAUGCUUAGGAACCAUUUUGGUAAUGUUAUGUUAAAGCUUUCCCUUUAAUAACUGUUUAAAAAAUGGGGCUAGAAAAAGAAAGCUCUAUGUCCUGUGCAUAAAUGUGCAGUACAAGAGGGAUUAUAUUUUAAAGAAGAUUUAGGCAUGUGAUGAAUUAAAAAUUGAAUCAUUGUUAAGAACUAUGAAGCCCUCUUUACUAGAUAACACUGUCUAAGAUUUUCGUGCUGAUUACUGUAAGCAUUUUCAUUUAUAGAAAUAUCUAAUUUAAGGAUUUCCAAUUAUUGCAGCAUAAAACCAGACCUUUGUAAUUCAGAUCAAGAAAAGCCCAUCAAACAUACAAUGAGAAACCUAGACAUUUCUGUGACAUGUGGAUCUGUAUAUCAACAUAUUAUUGUAUUAAUUUAUUUGUGUAUUUUGAGAUAAUCAUACAGUCUUGUGCAGGAAUGAUGACUGUAUUUAUCUCAAUGUUAUUAAUUACACCAGCUAUCUGGAAUAAAAGAUUUAGCAUUUCCAUACCUAUAAAGAGCUAAAGGCUGCAUUUGGAAGGAAUAAUGGAUGCCAUCAGAAGAUUUUCAAAUCCAGUUCCAAUAGCUGGACAUUUCCACCCUGAUUGAAAUAUUUAAAAACCUCCUGAGAGUAGACUAACUGAAGCUUGCAACUCAUGCUCUAUAACAAUUUUAUUGCUGAUCAUAUUGCACAGUGACACAGUUCACUCAGCACUUUACCUGACUGUUACCCAUUAAUCAGCUGUAACACAAACAGCGCCAUGUAUUGGGAGUUUAUGAGAGUUGUCUGUUUUCUAGGACACCUCCAUCCCUGACACUAGAUAUGUCUGCCAGACACUAUGUGCUAUUAAGAGGAGACUGGAGCUGGGGUUUGUGGGGGGUUGUGGUUUGCCUGGUGGUCUUUUAUUUCAGUCUGUUGGGGGGCAGUCCAGUAAGAAAGUGCUGUAAAACUUACUGUGUAUUUGUCACUGUCAUGUUCUUGAAUUGGUGUUGCAGAAAAAGGUGCUCAAAGUCAUCUCUUUAAUUGUAAAGGCAUGAGAAAUAAGGCUACUACCCAUCAUUUCCAAUGAAAAGAAUAUUAGUUUAAGUUUUGGAAAUCUGGGGUCUGCUCUGGAUGUACCCACAAAGCUGGAAAAUCAUAAUGAUAUAUAGAAGUCUGAGAUUUGGAGAGAGUUUUAUUUUUCUUAUUGCUCAAACUAAUAUUGAUUGAAUGAAGAGGUCCUGCCUGUCUAUCUGCUGUAGAAAUGUGUUUGACUUUGUUAUGCAAAGUUUCACUGGCUAAACUCGAAGUGUAAGUGGCAUUGGGAAUCAUAUUGGGCUCUACCUAUGUUUGAAGGCUAUAUCUAAGGCAUGUUUCUUAUUCUGCCCCAUGGAAGAUUUCCAUAUUUUUCAGAGUGAGAGCGAUAUGAUAUGGCUUACAACAUGCAACUUUAUGCUUCUUCUGUACAGAUAUUUACACAUCUGAAGAAGUCAUAUUUUGCUCCCCUUAUAGAUAUUGGGUAUAAAUAAGACAAUUUAAAGGCAUGAUUUUUGACACAGAUAUAUGUUUCAAAAUUGUGUCUAUUUCUCCUCCAUGACUCUAAAGGUGCUCAAGACUAUUAAGUCAGAGAUAAACCUGCAUUUGUUCACAUAAACUGAACAAAAAAGUCCAGGCACAAGCAAUGAAAUAGCUAGAAACAUUUACUUCAGGGAAGUCUGAAUCAAUAAAAAUAUAAAGUUGGAUGAUGGGAAUCUUACUGUAUGUUUGUGCACUUGUAAGUAUAACUGACUUCUGCCAGAAUGACAACAGCCUGGUUAGAGUAGGUCAGGCAACGGAUUAAAUUGCAGUAAGUGCAACCAAGGACCAAUUGCUCAAAAAAUGUAAGAAAACCAAUCAGUUAUAUCAGGACAAAAAAUGUCCCCAUCAUCAAACUAGACCUUCCUAAGCUGGGUUUAGGGAAACUCCUCUUUAGGAUGGAGAUGUUACUGGUGAAAAGAGAAAACUUUCUUCAUAAGGUGCUGGGAGAACAAGUGGAAUGAAAAGAGCUUGGAAAAAGUUUGUAGAAAAAAAAGCUUGAAUAUUUUAUUUUCUUCUUUAUAAACCUUGAAGAUUUUUUAUUUCUUUCUCAAUCUAGGUAUUUCUUGUGCCCUUGUAACUGGUUGUACAACUGUUGUUGUAACUGUUUUAGUUACCUUUUUCAUAGCUAGUCAGCACAUGAGUCACAUUUGUUUUCGCAGACACAGUAACUUAACUGUUGCUACUAAAGAGAUGCACCAAAGAUUUUCUACCAGACACAAAGUUUCCCAUUCCCCAGGAUAGUUAGUUAAAGCAAUAGCAUCAAUGUUGAGACAAAUUCAGAACUUUUUCUUUCUUUAAUGAAAGACAAGGAAAACAAAAACCAAAACAAUAAACAAGCACAAAUCCCAUAUGAGGCUCACGUUAGAAUACUUCCAUCAUUUUCAUUUGAAAAAAAAUGUAACUGAGUAACGAGUCCAGCAGCCUUACUCAGCAACUUUACAUGUAUGGGCAAAAAUAUUAAUGCAUGCAAAUUGCAUUGGUGACAGGAAUAUUCUCAUGAGUGUAACUGCGCUUAUUCUUGAUGUUUCCUUUUACAACUAAGAUGUAACCCCUCAAUAAUCUCAAUAAUACUGUAAUGCCUGUGGUUCUGAGGCACAUGUCACUUGGGAGACUUGCCUAGCUCCAUUGCUUUUAACCCUGAUAAGUAAUUAGAAUCUAAUUUAUGAAUGCCUCAUAUCAGGAAAGGAAUCUGAAUUUGUUUAAAAGAGUCCUUGUCAGGAAGUUUUCCUUAAGCAAAAAAUUUACAAAGUGUCUUUGCAACCAAUAUUUCUUAAUUCUGUGAAGAAAGAAAACCAAAUUUGUGUAGCUCUUUCAAGACCCCAGUAACUUUAGAAUUAUUUUUGUUUUAGUUAUUAGUGGUGGGUUGGGGUUUUUUUGGGUAGUUUUUUUAGGUUUUGCUUAUUUUAACGUUCCUUUGAGGAAGAAUUAUUAGGUGCAGCACAUCUCAAUCAUCCUUUGACUUGGUAUAUUUUUGUAUAACAGUUUGGCAAGCAGUGAGAACUCUAGAUUUGGGGUUUUCUUUUGGUUUGUUUAUUUUUUUUUGUUUGUUUGUUUGUUUUGGUUUUCUGGUUUUUUUUGUUUUUUUUUUCCUUGCUUGCUUUUAUUGUGGGGUUUUUGGCAUGUGUGCAUAAAGUUAUUAUUUAUUUAGGGGUUUUCUAUGAGUUAGUAAUAUUCCCAUUCUUCUGGGGAACCUUUGACUGAAUGAACUUCAGAAACUGCUGUUUCAAUAUGCUACAAUAUCUUAGAGCUUCUUCUCUCAAGUACAUAAUAUUAAAAUGUUAACUAAAUAAAAAUAAUAGGAGCUGUUUUGAGGGAACUGCUGCAGGCUUCCUAUUGUGUCUUCUCCUUAGUAUAAACACAGGUAUAAAAAUGUUUGGAUCCUGAGUGAUCUGCACCAAUAAGAAUGGACAUGAAUUACAUUUUUAAAUUAUUUACAACUUCACAGUGUCUGUGGCUUUAAAUUAUUGAUGCUUGUGACAGCAACUGUCAAUGAGACAAAGCUUGCACUGAAACAGCAGCAGCAUACUGUGGUAUUCAGUGCCUCCAGUCCUUCUUAUUAUGGAAAAAUGUCACUUCUUUCAUUGUAGGAGAGCAGAAAAAAGGAAGCAAGAUCAUUAUUAAAGGAGAAGUUUCCUUCAAGACUCUUUGAUUACAGUGUGUCUCUCAGAACUCUUGGCAUAACAAAAAUGCUCUAACUGAGCAUGAAAGAGACUGGUCUUAUCAGUAAGAGACUGCAU